GUGCUGGCUUCUGCAGCACAUAUACUAAAAUUGGAACGACACAGAAAUUAGUAUGGCCCCUGUACAAGGAUGACAUGCAAAUUUGUGAAGUGUUCCAUACUUUU
RNAcentral lists this small nuclear RNA (104 nucleotides) under Dasypus novemcinctus (nine-banded armadillo). The record is from RNAcentral. Lineage: Eukaryota; Metazoa; Chordata; Mammalia; Cingulata; Dasypodidae.